ACACUUUCAUCCCAAACUCCUUGCUCUGUAUCCAAGCUCAAUACCACUUCAACCUACCCUUUUUCAACAUUUUUGGGUAAUGAUUCUAGCUUAAUCUUUGUUAACUUUUUGGUUCUGUUUUUGUGUUGAAAAUGUUUGUUCAUUCUUGGUUGAUCUUUUAAGAGGUUUUAGACUCAAGCUUGUAAAAAUGAUUAACUUUGGGGUUUACACCUUUUUUUUUGGGAUUUCUUGCUCUUGUUACUUUUAUCCACUAUCUUUAAUCAAACUUAGUAUUUUGUUUCAUUUUCUAUUUAUUGUUGACUUGUUGUUCAUAUUUAUUUGGUUGAUGAGAUCUAUUAGAUCA
Molecule: long non-coding RNA, 343 nt
Filed under: Lathyrus oleraceus (garden pea)
Lineage: Eukaryota; Viridiplantae; Streptophyta; Magnoliopsida; Fabales; Fabaceae
Description: Pisum sativum (pea) long non-coding RNA (PSAT_LNC026187)
Source: RNAcentral